This 282-nucleotide ribosomal RNA is filed under the name uncultured Anoxybacillus sp. Its description in RNAcentral is "partial 16S ribosomal RNA". It matches the Rfam family "Bacterial small subunit ribosomal RNA", at positions 1100 to 1382 of the family's 1533-position model. Lineage: Bacteria; Bacillati; Bacillota; Bacilli; Caryophanales; Anoxybacillaceae. The record is from RNAcentral.
AACCCUCGACCUUAGUUGCCAGCGAUUCAGUUCGGGGCACUCUAGGUGACUGCCGGGCUAAAGUCGGAGGAAGUGGGGAUGACGUCAAAUCAUCAUGCCCCUUAUGACCUGGGCUACACACGUGCUACAAUGGGCGGUACAAAGGGUCGCGAACCCGCGAGGGGGAGCCAAUCCCAAAAAGCCGCUCUCAGUUCGGAUUGCAGGCUGCAACUCGCCUGCAUGAAGCCGGAAUCGCUAGUAAUCGCGGAUCAGCAUGCCGCGGUGAAUACGUUCCCGGGUCUU